AGGGCCUUAGCUGUUUACAUAUUGGAGAUAUCCAUAGCCUUAAUACUGUGGACGGCCUAAGCCGUUUACGUAUUGGAGAUGGUCAUAGCCUUGAUACUGUGGACGUCUUUAGCCAUUUACACGCUGGAGAUGGCCAUAGCCUUAAUGUUGUGGAUUGAAUAAUGUUUUGGCUGAGGCGGUGAUAUUUUUUAGCGACGGCCUCUAG
This 205-nucleotide long non-coding RNA is filed under the name Nicotiana benthamiana. RNAcentral describes it as "long non-coding RNA (NBEN_LNC004522)". Lineage: Eukaryota; Viridiplantae; Streptophyta; Magnoliopsida; Solanales; Solanaceae. The record is from RNAcentral.